RNAcentral lists this long non-coding RNA (488 nucleotides) under Mytilus galloprovincialis (Mediterranean mussel). Lineage: Eukaryota; Metazoa; Mollusca; Bivalvia; Mytilida; Mytilidae. The record is from RNAcentral.
UGAGGGGACACCUGCCGUAUCAGACGACACCGUGUCCAUGGUGACGUCUGUUUCGGACCUUUUUAUACUGGGCGACGUCCGAGCCAGUUUCCUGUUUAAUCUUCGUAAGUUCAUGCAAUUGUAGUUUUGCUACUGGGCGGAUGAUGUCCUCGGGGACAAAAUGUCCACCAGCAGAGACAUCGACCCAGUGGUAAUAAAAGAGGGACGAAAGAUACCAAAGGGACAGUCAAACUCAUAAAUCUAAAACAAACUGACAACGCCAUGGCUAAAAAUAAAAAAGACAAACAGAAAAACAAUAGUACACACGACACAACAUAGAAAACUAAAGAAUAAACAACACGAACCCCACCAAAAACUAGGGGUGAUCUCAGGUGCUCCGGAAGGGUAAGCAGAUCCUGCUCCACAUGUGGCACCCGUCGUGUUGCUUAAGUGAUUACAAAUCCGGUAAAUAGUCUUAUUCGGUAGGUCAUAUUCAUGAAAGGGAAGGG